Molecule: ribosomal RNA, 253 nt
Filed under: uncultured bacterium
Lineage: Bacteria
Description: partial 16S ribosomal RNA
Rfam family: Bacterial small subunit ribosomal RNA
Source: RNAcentral
UAUAGAGGUCCCAAGCGUUGUUCGGAUUCAUUGGGCGUAAAGGGUGCGUAGGCGGCGCGGUAAGUCGGGUGUGAAAUCUCGGAGCUUAACUCCGAAACUGCAUUCGAUACUGCCGUGCUUGAGGACUGGAGAGGAGACUGGAAUUUACGGUGUAGCGGUGAAAUGCGUAGAUAUCGUAAGGAAGACCAGUGGCGAAGGCGGGUCUCUGGACAGUUCCUGACGCUGAGGCACGAAGGCCAGGGGAGCAAACGGG